This 458-nucleotide ribosomal RNA is filed under the name uncultured bacterium. RNAcentral's name for it is "partial 16S ribosomal RNA". It matches the Rfam family "Bacterial small subunit ribosomal RNA", at positions 29 to 507 of the family's 1533-position model. The record is from RNAcentral.
AACGAACGCUGGCGGCAUGCCUAACACAUGCAAGUCGAACGAGACCUUCGGGUCUAGUGGCGCACGGGUGCGUAACGCGUGGGAACCUGCCCUUAGGUUCGGAAUAACUCCCCGAAAGGGGUGCUAAUACCGGAUAAUUUCUUCUGACCAAAGAUUUAUCGCCUUUGGAUGGGCCCGCGUUGUAUUAGCUAGUUGGUAGGGUAAAAGCCUACCAAGGCUACGAUGCGUAGCUUGUCUGAGAGGCUGAUCAGCCAAACUGGGACUGAGACACGGCCCAGAAUACGAGGGGAGGGAGCAGUAGGGGAGCUUGGGGAAUGGGCGAAAGACUGACGAAGGAAAGCGGGGUGAGUGAGGCAGGUCUUGUGCUCGUAAAACGCUGUUAUGAGGGAAGAACAAAUAUGUCCGUAACUAUGCCGGUCUUGACGGUAGCGAAUAAGAAAGCAACGGGUAACUACGUG